Molecule: long non-coding RNA, 1592 nt
Filed under: Sorghum bicolor (sorghum)
Lineage: Eukaryota; Viridiplantae; Streptophyta; Magnoliopsida; Poales; Poaceae
Description: long non-coding RNA (SBIC_LNC006392)
Source: RNAcentral
AUAUAUAUUUAAAAUAUAAUAUAAAUAUAAGGAUAGAUAGAUAGAAAUACUUAUCGAGAUAAAUGGGGGUGCUCUCUCCCAAGCUGAAUUUUGACGUAAUUUCUCAUGAUGUAGCUAGCAGGCGGCAGAGGUGUUUUUGAAAGUCAGCAGCAUUCUGACAGCGACUAGAAUGUUCUCCAUCUGCUAGUCUUCUUGAUUCUUAAAUUCUGUGGAGCUCAAAUAGACAACAAAGCUUGUGGAACUUGAUUAAGUGUUAGCAUAAAUAUCUAGCCUUUAUCAUGUUGAGACUCCUUAAUAAUUAUUACUCCCUGUUUUUAUAUUUUCGUUUUAUUAAAGCAGAAAAGAAAUUUUUAUUUUAUUUUUAUGCCACCACAGUGAAUGUACUUAUGGUUUUAUGCCACUCGUAUACUCACAUGGGGCUUACUGUUUUUCACAUUUUAUUUUCUUUUUAGGAUAGUACGAACAUAAUUAACUAAGUAAACUAUUCGAAAUAAUUGAAAGGGAAAGGAUAACUACCAAGUUUACCUCUUGGCAAGGCGUUCGGUGUUUUUAUGUCCUCCGAAUGGGACUCUCCUCUUUCUCAAUUGUCCUGGGGUUCGUUGGGUGGCGUAGUCGGUACUUCCAGCGGCGCCUCCUCUUCAUGUAUAGUUAUCUUCUCUUUCCAUACCUGACUCGGUGCUUCAGUCUCCUCUGGAUAAUUCUGUUUAAACUCUACAUCUUCUGACCUUACAACUUCUCCUUCAUAGUCUGCCCAUCCGUCCUUGAUGAUUUGCCUCCUCUGGUUGCGGUUGCGUCGUUUUCUUACCUGCUUAGAUUCUUCAACGAUAUAGUUAGGGUCAGCAAAAUAACGGCGUACCUUCUCUGAGGGGAUGUGCAUAUGGACUUCUCUGGUUCCAAUGUAGAUAAUUGCUUUAACGGUGCUGAGAACGGUCUUCCAAGGAUGAUGGGUGGAUCGUACUCAUCUUCUCCCUUGUCAAUAACCUGAAAGUCUGUGUAGACAAAAUGAUCGUCUAUUUUGACUGGGACAUCAGUUACUGUGCCUUUAACUUCUCAAAACAUCUGAUCUGCCAUCUGGAGCUGAAUGUAUGUUGGUUUUAGGAGCAUGGUUUCGAACAAGUGCCGAUAGGUGACUGCGGCCAUUAUGUUGACGCCUGAUCCGGUGUCGCAAGUCGUCUUGUAGAAGUUGUAUCCAUUUAUGGAGCAGUAGAUGCUUGGCAUUCCUAGGUCAUCCUUCUUGGUCAAAAACGGUGACUUGAGUUGGUGAUCUUGGCCUCCAUGAACUACAGUGACCAUCUUAGCUGAUUCGGUCCACACUUGCUUGUUCCUGUUCCUCCUGUUGGUCCGCUUCCUUGAUUCACGUCUGGAUUGAUCUAGAAUUUGUGUAGUCUUGUUCUUGAAGAAAAACGUCUCCUUCCUCCCUUUGAUGUAGAAACUGAUCUUGGCAGCACUAGCGUAGAUGAUAGCUCCCGUGGUGUUCAAGAAUGGCCUCCCUAAGAUGAUGGGUGCUCUCUCAUCAUUACCGGUCUCUACCACUACGAAGUCUGCUGGGGCAUACAAGGUACCAACUCGGACGCAAAGGUUCUUCACUAUUC